RNAcentral lists this ribosomal RNA (496 nucleotides) under uncultured bacterium. RNAcentral describes it as "partial 16S ribosomal RNA". It matches the Rfam family "Bacterial small subunit ribosomal RNA", at positions 29 to 507 of the family's 1533-position model. The record is from RNAcentral.
AUGAACGCUGGCGGCGUGCCUCAUACAUGCAAGUCGAGCGAACGGACGAGAAGCUUGCUUCUCUGAUGUUAGCGGCGGACGGGUGAGUAACACGUGGAUAACCUACCUAUAAGACUGGGAUAACUUCGGGAAACCGGAGCUAAUACCGGAUGAUAUUUUGAACCGCAUGGUUCAAAAGUGAAAGACGGUCUUGCUGUCACUUAUAGAUGGAUCCGCGCUGCAUUAGCUAGUUGGUAAGGUAACGGCUUACCAAGGCAACGAUGCAUAGCCGACCUGAGAGGGUGAUCGGCCACACUGGAACUGAGACACGGUCCAGACUCCUACGGGAGGCAGCAGUAGGGAAUCUUCCGCAAUGGGCGAAAGCCUGACGGAGCAACGCCGCGUGAGUGAUGAAGGUCUUCGGAUCGUAAAACUCUGUUAUUAGGGAAGAACAUAUGUGUAAGUAACUGUGCACAUCUUGACGGUACCUAAUCAGAAAGCCACGGCUAACUACGUG